AAUCGCUAGUAAUCGCGGAUCAGCAUGCCGCGGUGAAUACGUUCCCGGGCCUUGUACACACCGCCCGUCACACCAUGAGAGUUUGUAACACCCAAAGCCGGUGGGGUAACCUUUUGGAGCCAGCCGUCUAAGGUGGGACAGAUGAUUGGGGUGAAGUCGUAACAAGGUAAC
This 171-nucleotide ribosomal RNA is filed under the name uncultured bacterium. RNAcentral describes it as "partial 16S ribosomal RNA". It matches the Rfam family "Bacterial small subunit ribosomal RNA", at positions 1330 to 1500 of the family's 1533-position model. The record is from RNAcentral.